AGUGAACGCUGGCGGUAGGCCUAACACAUGCAAGUCGAACGGCAGCACAGUAAGAGCUUGCUCUUACGGGUGGCGAGUGGCGGACGGGUGAGGAAUACAUCGGAAUCUACUUUUUCGUGGGGGAUAACGUAGGGAAACUUACGCUAAUACCGCAUACGACCUACGGGUGAAAGCAGGGGAUCUUCGGACCUUGCGCGAUUGAAUGAGCCGAUGUCGGAUUAGCUAGUUGGCGGGGUAAAGGCGCACCAAGGCGACGAUCCGUAGCUGGUCUGAGAGGAUGAUCACCCACACUGGAACUGAGACACGGUCCAGACUCCUACGGGAGGCAGCAGUGGGGAAUAUUGGACAAGGGGGGCAAGCCUGAUCCAGCCAUACCGCGUGGGUGAAGAAGGCCUUCGGGUUGGUAAGCCCUUUUGUUGGGAAAGAAAAGCAGCAGGUUAAUACCCCGCUGUUCUGACGGUACCCAAAGAAUAAGCACCGGCUAACUUCGUG
RNAcentral lists this ribosomal RNA (492 nucleotides) under uncultured bacterium. RNAcentral's name for it is "partial 16S ribosomal RNA". It matches the Rfam family "Bacterial small subunit ribosomal RNA", at positions 29 to 507 of the family's 1533-position model. The record is from RNAcentral.